CCUACGGGUGGCUGCAGUGGGGAAUAUUGGACAAUGGGGGGAACCCUGAUCCAGCCAUGCCGCGUGUGUGAAGAAGGCCCUCGGGUUGUAAAGCACUUUCAGUGAGGAAGAACGCCUGGUGGUUAAUACCCAUCAGGAAAGACAUCACUCACAGAAGAAGCACCGGCUAACUCCGUGCCAGCAGCCGCGGUAAUACGGAGGGUGCGAGCGUUAAUCGGAAUUACUGGGCGUAAAGCGCGCGUAGGUGGCUUGAUAAGCCGGUUGUGAAAGCCCCGGGCUCAACCUGGGAACGGCAUCCGGAACUGUGAAGCUAGAGUGCAGGAGAGGAAGGUAGAAUUCCCGGUGUAGCGGUGAAAUGCGUAGAGAUCGGGAGGAAUACCAGUGGCGAAGGCGGCCUUCUGGACUGACACUGACACUGAGGUGCGAAAGCGUGGGUAGCAAACAGGAUUAGAUACCCUUGUAGUC
Molecule: ribosomal RNA, 465 nt
Filed under: Vreelandella stevensii
Lineage: Bacteria; Pseudomonadati; Pseudomonadota; Gammaproteobacteria; Oceanospirillales; Halomonadaceae
Description: partial 16S ribosomal RNA
Rfam family: Bacterial small subunit ribosomal RNA
Source: RNAcentral